UGGGGAAUUUUGCACAAUGGGGGAAACCCUUAUGCAGCGACGCCGCGUGAUUUAGAAGGCCUUCGGGUUGUAAAAAUCUUUUCUAUGGGAAGAAAAUGACAGUACCAUAGGAAUAAGGACCGGCUAAUUACGUGCCAGCAGCCGCGGUAAUACGUAAGGUCCGAGCGUUGUCCGGAAUCAUUGGGCGUAAAGGGUACGUAGGCGGGUAAGCAAGUUAGAAGUGAAAUCCUAUAGCUCAACUAUAGUAAGCUUUUAAAACUGCUCAUCUUGAGGUAUGGAAGGGAAAGUGGAAUUCCUAGUGUAGCGGUGAAAUGCGCAGAUAUUAGGAGGAAUACCGGUGGCGAAGGCGACUUUCUGGCCAUAACCUGACGCUGAGGUACGAAAGCGUGGGUAGCAAACAGG
Molecule: ribosomal RNA, 402 nt
Filed under: bacterium
Lineage: Bacteria
Description: partial 16S ribosomal RNA
Rfam family: Bacterial small subunit ribosomal RNA
Source: RNAcentral